AUACGUAGGGGGCGAGCGUUGUCCGGAAUGAUUGGGCGUAAAGGGCGCGUAGGCGGCCUGUUAAGUCUGGAGUGAAAGUCCUGUUUUCAAGAUGGGAAUUGCUUUGGAUACUGAUGGGCUUGAGUGCAGGAGAGGUCAUCGGAAUUCCCGGUGUAGCGGUGAAAUGCGAAGAGAUCGGGAGGAACACCAGUGGCGAAGGCGGGUAACUGGACUGCAACUGACGCUGAGGCGCGAAAGUGUGGGGAGCAAACAGGAUUAGAUACCCUGGUAGUCCACACUGUAAACGAUGAAUGCUAGGUGUAAGAGGUAUCGACCCCUUUUGUGCCGGAGUUAACACAAUAAGCAUUCCGCCUGGGGAGUACGGCCGCAAGGUUGAAACUCAAAGGAAUUGACGGGG
Molecule: ribosomal RNA, 397 nt
Filed under: uncultured bacterium
Lineage: Bacteria
Description: partial 16S ribosomal RNA
Rfam family: Bacterial small subunit ribosomal RNA
Source: RNAcentral